AUUGAACGCUGGCGGCAUGCCUUACACAUGCAAGUCGAACGGCAGCACGGGAGCAAUCCUGGUGGCGAGUGGCGAACGGGUGAGUAAUAUAUCGGAACGUGCCCAGUCGUGGGGGAUAACGUAGCGAAAGCUACGCUAAUACCGCAUACGAUCUACGGAUGAAAGCGGGGGAUCGCAAGACCUCGCGCGAUUGGAGCGGCCGAUAUCAGAUUAGGUAGUUGGUGAGGUAAAGGCUCACCAAGCCGACGAUCUGUAGCUGGUCUGAGAGGACGACCAGCCACACUGGGACUGAGACACGGCCCAGACUCCUACGGGAGGCAGCAGUGGGGAAUUUUUGGACAAUGGGCGCAAGCCUGAUCCAGCAAUGCCGCGUGCAGGAUGAAGGCCUCGGGUUGUAACGUAGUCUUUUGUUACGGUAACG
This 421-nucleotide ribosomal RNA is filed under the name uncultured bacterium. RNAcentral's name for it is "bacterial SSU rRNA". It matches the Rfam family "Bacterial small subunit ribosomal RNA", at positions 30 to 453 of the family's 1533-position model. The record is from RNAcentral.